This 448-nucleotide ribosomal RNA is filed under the name uncultured bacterium. Its description in RNAcentral is "bacterial SSU rRNA". It matches the Rfam family "Bacterial small subunit ribosomal RNA", at positions 329 to 792 of the family's 1533-position model. The record is from RNAcentral.
GGCCAGACUCCUACGGGAGGCAGCAGUGGGGAAUAUUGGGCAAUGGGCGCAAGCCUGACCCAGCGACGCCGCGUGAGGGAAGACGGUCUUCGGAUUGUAAACCUCUUUCAGCAGGGAAGACAAAAGGACGGUACCUGCAGAAGAAGCCACGGCUAACUACGUGCCAGCAGCCGCGGUAAUACGUAGGUGGCAAGCGUUAUCCGGAAUUACUGGGUGUAAAGGGCGUGUAGCCGGGCUGACAAGUCAGAUGUGAAAUUCCGGGGCUCAACCCCGGACCUGCAUUUGAAACUGUUGGUCUUGAGUAUCGGAGAGGCAGGCGGAAUUCCUAGUGUAGCGGUGAAAUGCGUAGAUAUUAGGAGGAACACCAGUGGCGAAGGCGGCCUACUGGGCUUUAACUGACGCUGAGGCACGAAAGCGUGGGUAGCAAACAGGAUUAGAUACCCCGGUA